Molecule: transfer RNA, 73 nt
Filed under: Angomonas deanei
Lineage: Eukaryota; Euglenozoa; Kinetoplastea; Trypanosomatida; Trypanosomatidae
Rfam family: tRNA
About the family: Transfer RNA (tRNA) molecules are approximately 80 nucleotides in length.
Source: Rfam by way of RNAcentral
GCCCUUGUAGCCUAAUGGAUAUGGCGUUUGCUUCCUAAGCAAAAGGUUGUGGGUUCGAGUCCCACCUGGGGUA